Aplysia californica (California sea hare) is the source of this 76-nucleotide small nucleolar RNA. The record is from RefSeq and is a predicted model, not a curated record. NCBI's taxonomy places the organism in Eukaryota, Metazoa, Mollusca, Gastropoda, Aplysiida, Aplysiidae.
GUUGUUGUGAUGAAAUGUUGAGUUACCGCCCCAGUCUGAUAUAACUAUGACUGAAUGGUAAAUAUUCUGAUACAAC